RNAcentral lists this ribosomal RNA (253 nucleotides) under uncultured bacterium. RNAcentral's name for it is "partial 16S ribosomal RNA". It matches the Rfam family "Bacterial small subunit ribosomal RNA", at positions 524 to 776 of the family's 1533-position model. The record is from RNAcentral.
UACGUAGGUGGCAAGCGUUGUCCGGAUUUACUGGGCGUAAAGAGCGCGCAGGCGGUCGUUCAAGUCGCGUGUGAAAGCCCCCGGCUCAACUGGGGAGGGUCACUCGAUACUGAUCGACUGGAAGGCAGGAGAGGGAAGCGGAAUUCCCGGUGUAGUGGUGAAAUGCGUAGAUAUCGGGAGGAACACCAGUGGCGAAGGCGGCUUCCUGGCCUGUUCUUGACGCUGAGGCGCGAAAGCUAGGGGAGCAAACGGG